Eutrema salsugineum is the source of this 6879-nucleotide RNA transcript. It is a transcript of the gene named ENHANCER OF AG-4 protein 2, with no coding region annotated. NCBI's taxonomy places the organism in Eukaryota, Viridiplantae, Streptophyta, Magnoliopsida, Brassicales, Brassicaceae. The record is from RefSeq and is a predicted model, not a curated record. The transcript is spliced from 12 exons.
AAAAAAAAAAGAAAAACGAGAAGGGGAAGAAAACGCCGACAACAGUAACCCAAGUUCUCAGACAAAAUUCCUCGCAAAGUUUUUCGUUCAUCUUUUAGCCCUAACCAGUAACCACCAUCAUCGUCUCUCGCGACCGCCUCAAUCUAUCUCAAUCUCUGAAUCAAUCCCUCUUUUUCUCUCUCUCCCGCUCCGUCGCUGUCCGUGAUCUCUUGCUGUCUCCGCUGUCAAUCAGCGAAGCUUUCUUCCUCCGGUGGAAUUGAUCAUCAAUCUCCGGAUUGGAAUUUGAGUCUCUUCUUGGUUCUCGGCGUUGGAUUGAAAUCCGCAAUUCUGCUCGGUGCUGCUGUUUUUGCGCUCAAAAUUAGGGUUUAUAGCGGUCUCGCCUAUGGCUCCUGGGCGUAAAAGAGGAGCGAGCAAGGCCAAGGCCAAGGGGCAGUUGAUUCUCGGUGAUCUGGUUCUUGCCAAAGUCAAAGGCUUCCCUGCUUGGCCUGCCAAGGUCAGCCGGCCUGAAGACUGGGAUCGUGCGCCUGACCCAAAGAAGUACUUUGUUCAGUUCUUUGGAACACAGGAAAUAGCUUUUGUUGCACCGCCUGAUAUCCAAGCCUUCACUAGUGAGGCAAAGAGCAAACUAUUAGCAAGAUGUCAGGGUAAAACAGUCAAGUUCUUUGCUCAAGCUGUGACGGAAAUCUGCACCGCAUUCGAAGAGUUGAAAAAUCACAAGUCAAAUGGUUUGGGGAGUGAAGAUCCCAUGGAUGCUGCUGAGCCUGAUUUGACGAAGGCUGAGAUAGUAGAUGGAACCGAUCAUAUAUUUACUGAGUCUGAUGGAACUGGUAACUUUGAUUCUAGGACGGAUCCAUGCUUCCCCAAAUUAGAUAAGAGUAGUGGUGAAGAGACAAAGGCUGAGAUAGGGACGCGAGAUUCAUCUUCAUUUCUGGGAUCAAAGAUCACAUCCUCGGGUAGCGAGUCACUGGAGAGUGGUUCAUGUGACCCCAAAAUAAAGGAAAAGGAUUUUGCUAAAGGGACUGACGGUGAUGGUUGCAUUGAACAUUUUGGUAAUGGCCAAAAGAAUCUGGCCGCCAACGGUAAGAGGAUAAAGAAGCUAGCAGGUAGCACGGACAGGAAAGGUGAAGAUCCAGUUCAUAGGGACAAAAGCACUAGCUCACAUGUGCCAGAUGGUCGUGUUGCUAGUGGUAAAUCUGAUUCCAAAAAGUCAAAAGGUCUGUUGACAGAGAAAUCUAGCUCCAAAGUGUCUGGAGGUAAGCAUGAAAAUUCACCUGGCUUCAAGGGUGGGGUUUCCGGCAAGAAAAGGAGGCUUGAGAGUGAACACCCUGCACCAAGAGUAGAUGAAAGCUCACGUGCUGCUAAAAAGCCGCGAUGUGAAGGUACGAAUGACAAAGAAAAGUAUGAAAUUGAUAAUAAAUCUGAUUCUGCUGGGACUGUAUCAGAUAUGAAGCGUGCAAUUGUUUUAGGAUUAAGUGCUCAUGGAGGAGAUUUACAAUAUGAUAAAGAAGUAGUUGCAUAUACAAAGCGCCGCAGACAAACAGUGGAGCAUGCUACCUCUCCUCCUGGGUAUCAUGAUAAAUCCGAGAAAGGUCAACUGGAACAGAAAGACCAUUCCUCUUCUGUUAGUGAUAAAUCCGGGAAAGGUAAUCUGGAACAGAAAGACAUUUCCUCUUCUGUUAAUAAUGCUAAGGUCCCAGGUGCACAGUCGCUGAAAAAACGGAGGGCUGUUUGUAUUUAUGACGAAGAUGAUGAUGAUGAUCCAAAAACCCCUUUACACGGAAGACAAGCCGCUGUUCCCAAAGCAACAUCAGUUUUGACUGAUGGUCCGAAAAGUGUUAAGAUAUCUGCUGGAUGUACAGAGAGUACUGGACUAAGGAAAGGACCUCUGCGUAAACAUCGUGAGGAUGCUUCACGCGUAUUAUCAGAUAAUGUGGAGAAUUCUACUAACCGCUUACACAUGGUAAAACCCAUCAGUGAAUUGCCGCCAAAAGAUAUCAAGCAGAUCUUGCGAUCUCCUAAGAUGUCUCCUCAGCUGGUUUCGACGAACAAGUAUGUUGCAGGACAGCAGAAAGCGACAAAAUCAGAUGUCAAAGUUUCUGGUGUUGUGAUGGCAAAGAAGCCUAAGAGUGAUUCUUGUAAGGAGGCAGCUACGGAAUCUGAUAAAGUAAGCUCUUCUCAGUUUCAGCCAGAAAAUCAGAGACACAAACCAGCUUCAAUUGCAGAUAGGCCAAUAGUGGUUCCAAAAGCUGCGCUACGUUUGAAUGAUGCUGGUGUUUCAAGAGACACUUCUGAGGACUUGUCUGCUGGCAUGCUUGAUAUUACUCGAGAAAACUGGAGUGCUCCAUAUAUCAGUUCGAGGACCCCAGAUUCGGCUGCAUCUAUGAAGGAACUAAUUGCAGCUGCACAGGCCAAAAGAAAACUAGCACAUUCACAAAAUUCAGUUUUUGGGAGUUUGAACCCUAGUUUCUUAAGCGUCAGUGAUACACAGAUGAGGAGCCAUAGCCCAUUUAUGGUUCAGAAUGCUUCAGCCUCAGCUGCCAUCCCAAUGCCUUUAGUUGUUCAAGGACAUCAACAAGAUUCUUCUCCGUCAAAUCAUGGGCAUCAGUCCUCAUCAAGAAAUCGAAAUGAGACUGAUGAUAAUGAAGAGAGAAGACUUAGUUCAGGGCAUAAGUCAGUUGGAAGUUCACUUAGUGGUGGCACGGAGGCUGCUGUUUCUCGGGAUGCUUUUGAGGGCAUGAUAGAGACCUUAUCAAGAACUAAGGAAAGUAUCGGACGUGCAACACGGCUAGCAAUUGACUGUGCCAAGUAUGGGAUCGCUAGUGAGGUGGUGGAACUUCUCAUACGGAAACUGGAAAGUGAACCUCACUUCCAUCGUAAAGUGGACUUGUUCUUUCUCGUUGACUCGAUCACCCAGUGUUCACACAACCAAAAAGGAAUUGCUGGUGCUUCGUACGUUCCCACAGUGCAAGCGGCUUUGCCACGUCUUUUAGGUGCUGCUGCUCCUCCAGGGACCGAUGCUCGUGAUAACCGUCGUAAAUGUCUGAAGGUUCUGAAGUUGUGGCUUGAUAGAAAAAUAUUCCCUGAAUCUCUUCUUCGUCGUUACAUUGAUGAUAUUGGAGCUUCUGGUGAUGAUGCAACCAUUGAGUUCUCCCUGCGACGUCCUUCUAGAUCGGAGCGUGCUGUAGAUGAUCCUCUUAGGGAAAUGGAAGGGAUGCUUGUUGAUGAGUAUGGCAGCAAUGCAACUAUUCAGCUGUCUGGGUUUUUUUCUUCUCAUACUUUCGAAGAUGAUGAAGAAGAUGACGAUCUUCCAGCAUCACAAAAGGAAAAAAUUACAUUUGCUGGGGAAUCUUUCAAUGCUUUAGAUGACUUGGAAGUACGUGAUACCUCGAGUGAUAGACGCCGAGUUUUGGAGGAUGUAGAUCAUGAACUUGAAAUGGAAGAUGUAUCAGGUCAGCGGAAAGAUUUAGCGUCUUCCUCUUUCUGCGAGAAUGAGACAAAGGAGCAGUCACUGGAUGUUAGGGAACUGAUCACAGAAAAGACAAUCGAGGUGCCUCCUCUUCCAGAGGGUUCUCCUCCGCUACCUCGUGAAUCACCUCCAUCCCCUCCUCCUCUACCUCCUUCUCCCCCACCUCCAUCCCCACCCCCUCCGCCUUCAUCUCCACCUCCAUUGCUGCCACCACCACCUCCCACGGCGCAAUUUCCACCUCUUCCUCCACCUCCGUCUCAGCCUCCACCACCACCGCCCCUUUCACCUCCACCUUCGCCGCCACCUCCACCUCCACCGCCUGCACAAUCUAUAGCUUUACCACCAUCAUUAACAAGUCAACCGUCCAUAGCCAGCCAUCAUCAGUUACCACGUCAACUAGGAUUUCCUCUUCCAGCAUAUCCAUUAUCGCAUCAAACAUACCCAGCAUCCAUGCAGCAAGACCGCUGUAGCAUUUUCACUGGUGAUCAAAUUGUCCAAGGGCCUGGAAGUUCUUCACGUGGAAGUCAUGUUGAGGGCGUUGCAAAAACUGAGUUUUUCAUGCAGCAGUCAUCUAAUUUUUCUCCAGCUGGAGUGUGCAGCUCCAGAGAGCCUUCAGCAUUUACUUCCUCCAGACAACUAGAAUUUGGGAACAGCGAUGUACUUUUUAAUUCUGAAGCUUCUUUGCAGAACCAACGGUUUCAGCCGAACACCCCUCUGUCCCAAAGACCUAUGGUUAGGAAUCUGCCUUCAGCACCGUCCAGUCAUUUUCCGUAUUCAAACCAUGUUCAAUCACAAUCCCAGCAUUCCUACACUCAUCCUUACUCUUUCCCACCUCAACGCGAUGAUGGACGACGAUAUAGAAAUGAGGAGCCAUGGCGGAUGCCUUCAAGUGGACAUAGUGCAGAAAACCAGAAUGGUGCUUGGAUGCAUGGAAGAAAUCCACAUCCAGGCCUUCCCAGAGUGACAGACAGUUUCUAUCGGCCACCUCUAGAACGUCCACCUUCAGUGACAAUGAGCUAUCAGCCUUCUGCUGCUAGUAAUUUGCCACCUGUGUCUGCAAUUCCAGGUCAUGCUGCUUCCCAGAAGCUACCAUCUCGGCCAGACAUACCUACCGCUAAUUGUUGGAGGCCAGCUUGAAGGAAAGGUAGAAUUUCGGUUGCCUGCUCCUGUUAGUAUCAAUGGAAAAGAAGCUGCGAGAUUAACAAGGAACAAGAAGUAUUGCGAGUCCAGCCAGUCCAUUUCACAAGUAUCUCCAUAUUGCUAUCUUGUGCACUGCUGAUCUGAAGAAGUAUAUCGAAGACUUGUGAGGUACUGCUCCUUAUUGCUUGUCUGAAAAUAUAUGUUCUCCACUCAAGGCAUAUGUGUUUUAGUAACAUAAAGAGGUUUUGGUUCUUAAUUAUGGUGAGCACUUGAAGAAGUGUUUUUACCGUUUGAUUUCUCAAAAGAGCCAUUUAUUUUUCAUUUUUUUUGCAAUUACAUAUUCGAGAUGUUAGAGGUUUGAAAGAAAGUUUGGCCUUUACCUAGUUUCAAAUUAUGUUGGCAACUUGGGAAAGGAUUUGAGUUACUUGGCUGUGAGCUUAUGGUGUUCCUUGCUAGGCUUGGGACAGGCUGCUACUCCUAUGUCAGUGUGUUCAAAACAACAGCCUUCUUAACAUGUUUUACUAAGCAUGUGUUUGCAGCUGCCUCUCACGCCUGUCGUGUUUAAUUGUCAUGAACUUACCCGUUUAUGUGGUACUGGCCAUCGGGGUUGCACAUGUGAAUAUGUGUGCUAUUUUUAGGAUUUGCUCAAUAGCUUACAAUCUUUGGUUUUGAGAAAGCCUUUCUCAUAUAUAUCUCUUCAAAGUGGUGUAGCCCUUCUUUUAAAUAUGGGUUUGUGGCGUUGAUGCGACUUACUUGUUCUUUGACUAAUGUCUCUGGGUUUCAAUCCCUAUUUUCCAUAGGUUUUUUACCGCACCUUGUCCUAACCACUAGAUAUGGUUAAGAUAAACAAGCCUCUUCUUUAGCAAUCCAUUCCAGUCCCCGUUUUUUUGUUUUUUGUUUUUAUUUUUAUAAAUUUUACUCACAUCUUUUUUUAUAUAAACAAGUCCAUAGAUAAUUAUUAAUUAUUUAUUCAUUAAUAGUAUAUAUAGUAGUUACUUUUUAUAGUUUUAUUUACUUGAUUUCAAUUAUUCUUUUGCACUCCUUAUGUGUUUGUUUGUAUUGCUUUUAUUGGACAAGUCGAAGCACUUAAUUUGCUCCAGUUAGGGUCUGAAGAUUGUAAUUCAGUGCUUAUUUUGCUCAAUGUAUAAGCUCCCUCUCGACCAUUCCUAUAUUAAUUUGUCAAACCACUGCUUGCUUGUUCUGUGAAGUACAUUCAUGUUGGGUAACAUACUUAAAUUAAGUCGUAGAUGGGAAUCAGGGACAUAAUCUCAUCACAUGUUUCACGAUGAACAGCAAGAAUUAUGCUUUAGAACAUAACAAAUUGAUGUGGACAAAGAAGUAUCAGUGAUUGAGAGGGAUUCAGUAUUACAUGUUUAAUCUCUGGUUCUUGAUAGAGUCGACUAUUUUGAGGGUAUUAAGUACUAGCAACUUGCAGUAUAUGCAAAUUCUCAUCUCUAAGAGCAUUCACCAGAGAAAUUACAUAGUUGCAGCACCAGAUGGUCGAGUUCACUGUUUUUUGUCUGGUCAAACUACCCCAUCUACGGUUAGCUUCUUGGUAUAUGCAGUAAGUCGCCUGUUGUUUGUGUUGUCUCAUUAAAUUUUGGGGGAUAGAUUUCUAUAUACUUGUGUUUGUGCUGACUUCAGUUGCGAGAACAUCUCUUCUUAAAGGUGUUGAGUGACUUGUGUCGUGCAACAGGCUUUUGAUACAAAGUUGAACCACCUCGAGCGAUGGGAAUCAUGGUGGUGGGAAAUAAGUGUGGAUGAUACUCAUGGUCGGAUUAUGCAAAAGCUUGAUGUAAGAAACUUCUCUUGUUCUUACACUCUUGUCUUCUUUGUAGUGUACAGUGGACUACAAAGAACAUUAAGAGCACAUAUAACGGUAUGUUCCCUGUAAACAUAGACAAUGUGAUUCUGUAAGAUAGGUGGAUCGUCUACUUUGAAAUAGCUACAACAAAACCCUGGUUUAUUGCGAGUUGGUUUUUCAGGUGUUGAAGUUGUGAGAUUGGUUCGGGAGCUGAGAGUUGCUGGUCUUCGGGAACAGACUAGGCUUUAGAAGAUUGAGAUCUCUGCUUGACAGUCGAGUUUCUCAAGUUCGGAGGUCAGUUUUUUCGUCAUUGAUAAACAUUAAUUAGGACUACCUUGUUCCGACUCUUUUAACAGAGGGAAAGUAAAAUAAGGCCAAAUAUGGUGUCGGUGAAUGUUGGUAUAUUAUGCCAGAAAUGUUGUUUUACAAAACUAAUCAAUAGGGCUUUCAAUUAACAGAGUUUAAAAUU